GAGUUUGCAUUGUUCAUUUGUGAUGGUUCAUUGUAUAGUGCUUGGAUUGAUGGUGUCAGUGCUCCACCCAUAUAGGGGUGGAGCCAGGAUGUGAUGUAAUGGCAGGAAGAAGGUGUGUUUUUCUCUUUGCUGGUUUGAGUUUGCUGCUGGCGGCCGCCAUGAACUGCAGCCCAGCCAUGCCUGCCUGUCUUGGAGACAACUGAGUGUGGACUGAAACCUCCAAAAACUAUGUCAAUGUGGGGUUACAACAUCUUGCAGCGAUGCUUCCCCGACUCCUUUAUUACACGAGGGCCUUCUGUCUCGACACCAGUGACCUGCAUGUCUCCUUUCAGUUCUUGUUCACGGAAAGUCCCGAAGCUGCUGCUGUUCCUUCAGGCCCGCAUGUUUAGAGCAGACCGUGUUUGGUUUCUUGGUUUGCUACGACUCAAAUCUUGAUUCCUCACUCGGCUCUUGAUUUUCUUCUUCUUCCUUAUGUGCAUUCCUCUUGAGAGUGGCGGUUUGCUUCUAAAGAGCUUUUGCUACA
Cavia porcellus (domestic guinea pig) is the source of this 523-nucleotide long non-coding RNA. RefSeq lists it as uncharacterized. Lineage: Eukaryota; Metazoa; Chordata; Mammalia; Rodentia; Caviidae. The record is from RefSeq and is a predicted model, not a curated record. The transcript is spliced from 2 exons.